UACCUGCAGCUCGAGUGGUGGCCGCUAUUAUUGGGCCUAAAACGUCCGUAGCCGGUUUAAUAAAUGCCUGGGUAAAUCGUGUAGCUUAACUAUACGAAUUCCGGGUAGACUGUUAGACUUGAGACCGGGAGAAGCUAGAGGUACUCCUGGGGUAGAGGUGAAAUUCUGUAAUCCUAGGGGGACCACCAGUGGCGAAGGCGUCUAGCUAGAACGGGUCUGACGGUGAGGGACGAAGCCCUGGGGCGCAAACCGGAUUAGAUACCCGGGUAGUCCAGGGUGUAAACGCUGCUUGCUUGAUGUUAGUUGGGCUCUGAGCCCAAUUAGUGUCGGAGAGAAGUUGUUAAGCAAGCUGCCUGGGAAGUACGGUAGCAAGACUGAAACUUAAAGGAAUUGGCGGGGGAGCACAGCAACGGGUGGAGCGUGCGGUUU
RNAcentral lists this ribosomal RNA (429 nucleotides) under uncultured archaeon. RNAcentral's name for it is "bacterial SSU rRNA". It matches the Rfam family "Archaeal small subunit ribosomal RNA", at positions 474 to 903 of the family's 1478-position model. The record is from RNAcentral.